GCCAGCGGCCAUAUCACCCUGCGACUAACAACUGGCAACCCACUCACGCUCAGCAGUGUGAGCCUGGUCAGUACCAGAAUGGGAGACCUCCUGGGAAAAACUAAGGUUGUUGCUGGAA
This 118-nucleotide ribosomal RNA is filed under the name Lepisosteus oculatus (spotted gar). The record is from RNAcentral. Lineage: Eukaryota; Metazoa; Chordata; Actinopteri; Semionotiformes; Lepisosteidae.